CAACACACAUUUGGCCAAGCUUUAUGACAAUUUGCUGGAACAGAAUCUCAUUCGGGUCAUUGAGCCCUUUUCCAGAGUACAGAUAACACAUAUAGCAGGCCUCAUCAAACUUUCAAAGGAUGAUGUUGAGAGAAAACUGUCACAAAUGAUCCUGGACAAAAAAUUUCAUGGCAUUCUUGACCAAGGUGAAGGAGUGCUCAUCAUAUUCGAAGAGCCCCCUGUGGACAAAACUUACGAGGCAGCUCUAGAAACCAUACAGAACAUGAGCAAAGUUGUGGAUUCACUGUACAACAAGGCUAAGAAGUUAACAUAGAGUAAGCGUCAGAGGCUGCUACUGUGUGAAAUGGUUGUAUGCGUGUGAGUUUGCCUGUGUGUAUGCGUGUAUGGCCAACAUGUGGAACUUUUUUUCUCACAGUAAAAAGGGACAACAUUGAGCAAGAUCUACUUGUUCCCCAGUUGAGAGUUUUUAAUGUUUUCUUUCAAAUGGACAAUUUCAUCUUUCUGAUCCUCUGAAUUUUUGUUCUUCUCUGUAUCUCUCAACAGCCAACACAGGCCAUCAGGGAAUGUUGUACAACUACAAUAAAAUCCUAAAAUGUCAUAUAGAACUGUAUAGCUCUUCUACAUUGAAAGUUUUUUAAUUACAGCAACUUUGUGAUACAGACUCUUGGGUUUCGGUUAU
Sinocyclocheilus grahami is the source of this 679-nucleotide long non-coding RNA. RefSeq lists it as uncharacterized. The record is from RefSeq and is a predicted model, not a curated record. The transcript has 5 exons. Lineage: Eukaryota; Metazoa; Chordata; Actinopteri; Cypriniformes; Cyprinidae.